Molecule: transfer RNA, 73 nt
Filed under: Abditibacteriota bacterium
Lineage: Bacteria; Pseudomonadati; Abditibacteriota
Description: tRNA-Ala(tgc)
Rfam family: tRNA
About the family: Transfer RNA (tRNA) molecules are approximately 80 nucleotides in length. Their secondary structure includes four short double-helical elements and three loops (D, anti-codon, and T loops). Further hydrogen bonds mediate the characteristic L-shaped molecular structure. tRNAs have two regions of fundamental functional importance: the anti-codon, which is responsible for specific mRNA codon recognition, and the 3' end, to which the tRNAs corresponding amino acid is attached (by aminoacyl-tRNA synthetases). tRNAs cope with the degeneracy of the genetic code in two manners: having more than one tRNA (with a specific anti-codon) for a particular amino acid; and 'wobble' base-pairing, i.e. permitting non-standard base-pairing at the 3rd anti-codon position.
Source: RNAcentral
GGGGGAUUAGCUCAUCUGGGAGAGCGUCUGAUUUGCAUUCAGAAGGUGAGCGGUUCGAGUCCGCUAUCCUCCA